Molecule: ribosomal RNA, 919 nt
Filed under: Marsupiomyces quercinus
Lineage: Eukaryota; Fungi; Ascomycota; Sordariomycetes; Diaporthales; Gnomoniaceae
Description: eukaryotic LSU rRNA
Rfam family: Eukaryotic large subunit ribosomal RNA
Source: RNAcentral
CUAGCAUAUCAAUAAGCGGAGGAAAAGAAACCAACAGGGAUUGCCCCAGUAACGGCGAGUGAAGCGGCAACAGCUCAAAUUUGAAAUCUGGCUUCGGCCCGAGUUGUAAUUUGCAGAGGAUGUUUAUGGUGAGGUACCUUCCGAGUUCCCUGGAACGGGACGCCACAGAGGGUGAGAGCCCCGUCUGGUUGGAUACCAAGCCUGUGUUAAACUCCUUCAACGAGUCGAGUAGUUUGGGAAUGCUGCUCUAAAUGGGAGGUAAAUCUCUUCUAAAGCUAAAUACCGGCCAGAGACCGAUAGCGCACAAGUAGAGUGAUCGAAAGAUGAAAAGCACCUUGAAAAGGGGGUUAAACAGUACGUGAAAUUGUUGAAAGGGAAGCGUUUAUGACCAGACUUGUGCCGUGUGGCUCAUCCGUGGUUCUCCACGGUGCACUCCACGCGGCUCAGGCCAACAUCGGUUCUCGCCGGGGGAUAAGAACAGCAGGAACGUGGCCCCUCUCGGGGGGUGUUAUAGCCUGCUGUACGAUACUCUGGUGGGGACCGAGGACCGCGCUUCGGCUAGGAUGUUGGCGUAAUGGUCAUUAGCGACCCGUCUUGAAACACGGACCAAGGAGUCGUCCAUUAGAGCGAGCGUUUGGGUGUCAAACCCGCACGCGUAAUGAAAGUGAAAUUAGGUGAGAGCUUCGGCGCAUCAUCGACCGAUCCUGAAGUUUACGGAUGGAUUUGAGUAAGAGUUUUAACGGACGGACCCGAAAGACAGUGAACUAUGCUUGAAUAGGGUGAAGCCAGAGGAAACUCUGGUGGAGGCUCGCAGCGGUUCUGACGUGCAAAUCGAUCGUCAAAUUUGAGCAUGGGGGCGAAAGACUAAUCGAACUGUCUAGUAGCUGGUUACCGCCGAAGAUUCCCUCCCGAGGGAGGA